This 497-nucleotide ribosomal RNA is filed under the name uncultured bacterium. RNAcentral's name for it is "partial 16S ribosomal RNA". It matches the Rfam family "Bacterial small subunit ribosomal RNA", at positions 28 to 507 of the family's 1533-position model. The record is from RNAcentral.
GAUGAACGCUGGCGGCGUGCCUAAUACAUGCCAGUCGAGCGAACGGACGAGAAGCUUGCUUCUCUGAUGUUAGCGGCGGACGGGUGAGUAACACGUGGAUAACCUACCUAUAAGACUGGGAUAACUUCGGGAAACCGGAGCUAAUACCGGAUAAUAUUUUGAACCGCAUGGUUCAAAAGUGAAAGACGGUCUUGCUGUCACUUAUAGAUGGAUCCGCGCUGCAUUAGCUAGUUGGUAAGGUAACGGCUUACCAAGGCAACGAUGCAUAGCCGACCUGAGAGGGUGACCGGCCACACUGGAACUGAGACACGGUCCAGACUCCUACGGGAGGCAGCAGUAGGGAAUCUUCCGCAAUGGGCGAAAGCCUGACGGAGCAACGCCGCGUGAGUGAUGAAGGUCUUCGGAUCGUAAAACUCUGUUAUUAGGGAAGAACAUAUGUGUAAGUAACUGUGCACAUCUUGACGGUACCUAAUCAGAAAGCCACGGCUAACUACGUG